GUGGGGAAUAUUGGACAAUGGGCGAAAGCCUGAUCCAGCCAUGCCGCGUGAGUGAUGAAGGCCUUAGGGUUGUAAAGCUCUUUCAGUAGGGAAGAUAAUGACGGUACCUACAGAAGAAGCCCCGGCUAACUUCGUGCCAGCAGCCGCGGUAAUACGAAGGGGGCUAGCGUUGUUCGGAUUUACUGGGCGUAAAGCGCACGUAGGCGGAUCGUUAAGUCGGGGGUGAAAUCCUGGAGCUCAACUCCAGAACUGCCUUCGAUACUGGCGAUCUUGAGUCCGGAAGAGGUGAGUGGAACUCCUAGUGUAGAGGUGGAAUUCGUAGAUAUUAGGAAGAACACCAGUGGCGAAGGCGGCUCACUGGUCCGGUACUGACGCUGAGGUGCGAAAGCGUGGGGAGCAAACAGGAUUAGAAACCCCAGUAGUCC
This 425-nucleotide ribosomal RNA is filed under the name uncultured bacterium. Its description in RNAcentral is "partial 16S ribosomal RNA". It matches the Rfam family "Bacterial small subunit ribosomal RNA", at positions 354 to 796 of the family's 1533-position model. The record is from RNAcentral.